GGGGCGGGCCGGGGCGCCGCCGCGGAUCCUCGCAAGAGGCAUACCGUGGAGGAAAGUCCGGGCUCGAAAGGAUGCGACGCCGGCUAACGGCCGGGAAUGUCCUCGGCGACGGAGACAUUACAGACAGCGCAACAGAAAGCGAACCGCCGAUGUCUUCGGGCAACGGUAAGGGUGAAAAGGUGGGGUAAGAGCCCACCGCGUUCGCGGCAACGCGAAUGGCACGGCAAACCUCGUCGCGAGCAAGGCCGAACAGCGGGUGCGCGGUCCGCGCGCGUUUGGAUACGGCUCGCCGUAUCCGGACAAUCCCGCGGGUAGGUCGCUUGAACCGAAGGGUAACCUUCGUGUCAGAUGGAUGGCGCCCGCCGCGCGGCAACGCGAGGUACAGAACCCGGCUUAUAGGCUCGCCCCCUUU
This 412-nucleotide RNase P RNA is filed under the name Spirochaetales bacterium. RNAcentral's name for it is "RNase P RNA component class A". It matches the Rfam family "Bacterial RNase P class A". Rfam says of the family: Ribonuclease P (RNase P) is a ubiquitous endoribonuclease, found in archaea, bacteria and eukarya as well as chloroplasts and mitochondria. Its best characterised activity is the generation of mature 5'-ends of tRNAs by cleaving the 5'-leader elements of precursor-tRNAs. The record is from RNAcentral. Lineage: Bacteria; Pseudomonadati; Spirochaetota; Spirochaetia; Spirochaetales.